CCUACGGGAGGCAGCAGUGAGGAAUAUUGGUCAAUGGACGAGAGUCUGAACCAGCCAAGUAGCGUGAAGGAUGACUGCCCUAUGGGUUGUAAACUUCUUUUAUAUGGGAAUAAAAUGUUCCACGUGUGGGAUUUUGUAUGUACCAUAUGAAUAAGGAUCGGCUACUCCGUGCCAGCAGGCGCGGUAAUUCGGAGGAUCCGAGCGUUAUCCGGAAUUAAUUGGGUUAAAGGGGGUGUAGGUGGAUUGUUAAGUCAGUUGUGAAAGUUUGCGGCUCAACCGUAAAAUUGCAGUUGAAACUGGCAGUCUUGAGUACAGUAGAGGUGGGCGGAAUUCGUGGUGUAGCGGUGAAAUGCUUAGAUAUCACGAAGAACUCCGAGUGCGAAGGCAGUUCACUGGACUGCAACUGACACUGAGGCUCGAAAGUAUGGGUAUCAAACAGGAUUAGAUACCCUAGUAGUC
RNAcentral lists this ribosomal RNA (459 nucleotides) under uncultured bacterium. RNAcentral describes it as "partial 16S ribosomal RNA". It matches the Rfam family "Bacterial small subunit ribosomal RNA", at positions 338 to 795 of the family's 1533-position model. The record is from RNAcentral.